Molecule: non-coding RNA, 254 nt
Organism: Pimephales promelas (fathead minnow)
Lineage: Eukaryota; Metazoa; Chordata; Actinopteri; Cypriniformes; Leuciscidae
Source: RefSeq, a predicted model, not a curated record
CGAUAUGACGUCAUAAGUGUGCGCCACACUGUUGUAAUUUGGCUGAAGAAAGAAAAACUCCUGGUGAAGGUGCUUACAUGAGAUCCACGUGACGCAUUAUUAUAAAGAUGGCGUUUAUUAAAGAGGAGAGUGAAGACAUGAAGAUUGAAGAAACAUUCAAAGUGAAACAAGAAGAUACUGAGGAAAAAACAGACCUAAGGGUGCUGAAAGAGGAGAGUGAAGUACUGAAUGAAAUGGAGAAGAAUCAAUGUGAG